UCAGAGACUCUGGGGCCUGUG
RNAcentral lists this unclassified non-coding RNA (21 nucleotides) under Mus musculus (house mouse). RNAcentral describes it as "oocyte_clustered_small_RNA1269". Lineage: Eukaryota; Metazoa; Chordata; Mammalia; Rodentia; Muridae. The record is from RNAcentral.